UCGCACGGCAUCACCAUAGAGCUUGCUCUCUUGGUGGCGAGUGGCGGACGGGUGAGUAAUGUAUCGGAACGUGCCCAGUAGCGGGGGAUAACUACUCGAAAGAGUGGCUAAUACCGCAUACGCCCUACGGGGGAAAGGGGGGGAUCGCAAGACCUCUCACUAUUGGAGCGGCCGAUAUCGGAUUAGCUAGUUGGUGGGGUAAAGGCCCACCAAGGCGACGAUCCGUAGCUGGUUUGAGAGGACGACCAGCCACACUGGGACUGAGACACGGCCCAGACUCCUACGGGAGGCAGCAGUGGGGAAUUUUGGACAAUGGGGGAAACCCUGAUCCAGCCAUCCCGCGUGUGUGAUGAAGGCCUUCGGGUUGUAAAGCACUUUUGGCAGAGAAGAAAUGGCAUCCCCUAAUAACUUCUGUUGCUGACGGUAUCUGCAGAAUAAGCACCGGCUAACUACGUGCCAGCAGCCGCGGUAAUACGUAGGGUGCAAGCGUUAAUCGGAAUUACUGGGCGUAAAGGGUGUGCAGGCGGCUCGGAAAGAAAGAUGUGAAAUCCCAGGGCUCAACCUUGGAACUGCAUUUUUAACUGCCUAGCUAGAGUAUGUCAGAGGGGGGUAGAAUUCCACGUGUAGCAGUGAAAUGCGUAGAUAUGUGGAGGAAUACCGAUGGCGAAGGCAGCCCCCUGGGAUAAUACUGACGCUCAGACACGAAAGCGUGGGGAGCAAACAGGAUUAGAUACCCUGGUAGUCCACGCCCUAAACGAUGUCAACUAGCUGUUGGGGCCGUUAGGCCUUAGUAGCGCAGCUAACGCGUGAAGUUGACCGCCUGGGGAGUACGGUCGCAAGAUUAAAACUCAAGGAAUUGACGGGGACCCGCACAAGC
Molecule: ribosomal RNA, 877 nt
Filed under: uncultured bacterium
Lineage: Bacteria
Description: bacterial SSU rRNA
Rfam family: Bacterial small subunit ribosomal RNA
Source: RNAcentral